This 508-nucleotide ribosomal RNA is filed under the name uncultured bacterium. RNAcentral's name for it is "partial 16S ribosomal RNA". It matches the Rfam family "Bacterial small subunit ribosomal RNA", at positions 28 to 507 of the family's 1533-position model. The record is from RNAcentral.
GACGAACGCUGGCGGCGUGCCUAAUACAUGCAAGUCGAACGCUUCUUUCCUCCCGAGUGCUUGCACUCAAUUGGAAAGAGGAGUGGCGGACGGGUGAGUAACACGUGGGUAACCUACCCAUCAGAGGGGGAUAACACUUGGAAACAGGUGCUAAUACCGCAUAACAGUUUAUGCCGCAUGGCAUAAGAGUGAAAGGCGCUUUCGGGUGUCGCUGAUGGAUGGACCCGCGGUGCAUUAGCUAGUUGGUGAGGUAACGGCUCACCAAGGCCACGAUGCAUAGCGGCCCGGAGAGGGUGAGCGGCCACACUGGGAGGGAGACAGGGCCAAGACCCAUGCGGGAGGCAGCAGUGGGGAAUCGUGGACAAGGGGCGAAAGUCGGACGAAGCAAGGCCGAGUGGGUGAAGAAGGUUUUGGGAUCGUAAAGCUCUGUUGUGAGGGAGGAAAAGAGGGUUGAGAACAUGAACGCCCCUUGACGGUAUCUAACGAAAAAGCAACGGCUAACUACGUG